Long non-coding RNA from Herpailurus yagouaroundi (jaguarundi), 321 nucleotides. RefSeq lists it as uncharacterized. The record is from RefSeq and is a predicted model, not a curated record. Lineage: Eukaryota; Metazoa; Chordata; Mammalia; Carnivora; Felidae. The transcript is spliced from 3 exons.
CGCAGGAGGAGGGUCUGCAGCAGGGGCUGGGCUGGCAGCAGGAGGGGGCUGAGCAGGGGGAGUCCUCGCAGCAGACAGGGGUGCAGCACACGGGCUUACAGCACACAGGGGUGCAGCAGUCUUCCUGACAGGGGGAGGAGGUGCAGCAGGACGGCUGGCAGCAUGAAGAGGUUGUGCAGGGGGAGUCCUCGCAGCAGACAGUGGUGCAGCACACAGGCUUGCAGCAGACAGGGGUGCAGCAGACGGGCUUGCAGCAGACAGGGGUGCAGCAGACGGGCUUGCAGCAGUCUUCCUGGCAGGGGGAGGAGGUGCAGCAGGACG